GACGAACGCUGGCGGCGUGCCUAAUACAUGCAAGUAGAACGCUGAAGUAAGAGCUUGCUCUUACAGAUGAGUUGCGAACGGGUGAGUAACACGUGGGGAACCUACCUUCUAGCGGGGGAUAACACAUAGAAAUGUGUGCUAAUACCGCAUAAUAGUAUUUGAUGCAUAUCAGAUAUUUGAAAGGCGCAAUUGCGUCACUAGAAGAUGGCCCCGCGGUGCAUUAGCUAGUUGGUGAGGUAACGGCUCACCAAGGCAAUGAUGCAUAGCCGACCUGAGAGGGUGAUCGGCCACACUGGGACUGAGACACGGCCCAGACUCCUACGGGAGGCAGCAGUAGGGAAUCUUCGGCAAUGGACGCAAGUCUGACCGAGCAACGCCGCGUGAGUGAAGAAGGUUUUCGGAUCGUAAAACUCUGUUGUAAGAGAAGAACGUUGAUGAGAGUGGAAAGUUCAUCAAGUGAC
This 461-nucleotide ribosomal RNA is filed under the name Enterococcus sp. oral taxon A78. RNAcentral describes it as "bacterial SSU rRNA". It matches the Rfam family "Bacterial small subunit ribosomal RNA", at positions 28 to 473 of the family's 1533-position model. Lineage: Bacteria; Bacillati; Bacillota; Bacilli; Lactobacillales; Enterococcaceae. The record is from RNAcentral.